UGGGGAAUAUUGCACAAUGGGCGCAAGCCUGAUGCAGCCAUGCCGCGUGUAUGAAGAAGGCCUUCGGGUUGUAAAGUACUUUCAGUCGGGAGGAAGGUGUCAAGGUUAAUAACCUUGGCAAUUGACGUUACCGACAGAAGAAGCACCGGCUAACUCCGUGCCAGCAGCCGCGGUAAUACGGAGGGUGCAAGCGUUAAUCGGAAUUACUGGGCGUAAAGCGCACGCAGGCGGUUUGUUAAGUCAGAUGUGAAAUCCCCGGGCUCAACCUGGGAAAUGCAUCUGAUACUGGCAAGCUUGAGUCUCGUAGAGGGGGGUAGAAUUCCAGGUGUAGCGGUGAAAUGCGUAGAGAUCUGGAGGAAUACCGGUGGCGAAGGCGGCCCCCUGGACGAAGACUGACGCUCAGGUGCGAAAGCGUGGGGAGCAAACAGG
Molecule: ribosomal RNA, 429 nt
Filed under: Chloroflexota bacterium
Lineage: Bacteria; Bacillati; Chloroflexota
Description: Chloroflexi bacterium partial 16S ribosomal RNA
Rfam family: Bacterial small subunit ribosomal RNA
Source: RNAcentral